CACGUAGGCACCAAGCGUUAUCCGGAUUUAUUGGGCGUAAAGGGCUCGUAGGCGGUCUGUCGCGUCGGGAGUGAAAACUCAGGGCUUAACCCUGAGCCUGCUUCCGAUACGGGCAGACUAGAGGUAUGCAGGGGAGAACGGAAUUCCUGGUGUAGCGGUGAAAUGCGCAGAUAUCAGGAGGAACACCGGUGGCGAAGGCGGUUCUCUGGGCAUUACCUGACGCUGAGGAGCGAAAGUGUGGGGAGCGAACAGG
This 253-nucleotide ribosomal RNA is filed under the name uncultured bacterium. Its description in RNAcentral is "partial 16S ribosomal RNA". It matches the Rfam family "Bacterial small subunit ribosomal RNA", at positions 524 to 776 of the family's 1533-position model. The record is from RNAcentral.